GCGCCGCGGCUCACUAGGCUAAUCCUCCGCCUAGCGGCGCCGGCACACCGGGUUCUAGUCCCAGUCGGGGCGCCGGAUUCUGUCCCGGUUGCCCCUCUUCCAGGCCAGCCCUCUGCUGUGGCCCGGGAGUGCAGUGGAGGAUGGCCCAGGUGCUUGGGCCCUGCACCCCAUGGGAGACCAGGAGAAGCACCUGGCUCCUGCCAUCGGAUCAGCGCGGUGCGCCGGCCACGGCGGCCAUUGGAGGGUGAACCAACGGCAAAGGAAGACGUUUCUCUCUGUCUCUCUCUCUCUC
This is a non-coding RNA of Oryctolagus cuniculus (rabbit), 292 nucleotides long. NCBI's taxonomy places the organism in Eukaryota, Metazoa, Chordata, Mammalia, Lagomorpha, Leporidae. The record is from RefSeq and is a predicted model, not a curated record.